GGGGGCGAAAAGGUUUCGACAGGGAUAUUUGAUCUAAAAGGAGCAUGCCGGCCUCGUCAGGUCGCCGUCCCUAACGGGAUCCUGAAGUCCCAACUUUGUUGGGGCUGAAGGGUAAAAUACCUGGCAAAAACUUAAUUGCCAACGAGCAGUUAGCUUACGCCUGCUAAAGAGCAGGCGCGCUCCUCCCAUCUUGUCUGUGGAAUGGGAUGUGGGCGUCAGAGACACAGGAUAGUCUCCCCUUCUCGUUUGAGGGAUAGGAGAUGAAAAUUCAUCAAACUGGUUCCGAUCAAUCCCACUAACAGGAGUGAUCGGGAUGAGAAAAAAAUGUUGGCUAAGCAUGUAGGGCCUUUAGAAAGAUGUUCUUGGACACGGGUUCGAUUCCCGUCGCCUCCACGC
Molecule: transfer-messenger RNA, 396 nt
Filed under: bacterium
Lineage: Bacteria
Description: DRGV01 sp018903055 Standard tmRNA
Rfam family: transfer-messenger RNA
About the family: Bacterial tmRNA, also known as 10Sa RNA or SsrA, is named for its dual tRNA and mRNA-like properties.
Source: RNAcentral